RNAcentral lists this ribosomal RNA (428 nucleotides) under uncultured bacterium. RNAcentral describes it as "bacterial SSU rRNA". It matches the Rfam family "Bacterial small subunit ribosomal RNA", at positions 29 to 500 of the family's 1533-position model. The record is from RNAcentral.
AGCGAACGCUGGCGGCAGGCUUAACACAUGCAAGUCGAGCGCUCGUAGCAAUACGGGAGCGGCAGACGGGUGAGUAACACGUGGGAACGUACCUUUUGGUUCGGAACAACACAGGGAAACUUGUGCUAAUACCGGAUAAGCCCUUACGGGGAAAGAUUUAUCGCCAAAAGAUCGGCCCGCGUCUGAUUAGCUUGUUGGUGAGGUAACGGCUCACCAAGGCGACGAUCAGUAGCUGGUCNGAGAGGAUGAUCAGCCACAUUGGGACUGAGACACGGCCCAAACUCCUACGGGAGGCAGCAGUGGGGAAUAUUGGACAAUGGGCGCAAGCCUGAUCCAGCCAUGCCGCGUGAGUGAUGAAGGCCCUAGGGUUGUAAAGCUCUUUUGUGCGGGAAGAUAAUGACUGUACCGCAAGAAUAAGCCCCGGCUAA